ACUACAAGUGAAAAACUUAAAACUCAAAGGACUUGACGGUGUCCCAUAUCGACCUAGAGGAGCCUGUCCUAUAAUCGAUACCCCCCGCUCCACCCGACCCCAACUAGCAUACAUCAGCCUAUAUACCGCCGUCGAUCAGCCUACCCUAUGAAAGUCCAACAGUAGACACAAUAGCCCCACCGCUAAUACGUCAGGUCAAGGUGUAGCAAAUGUUGUGGAAGAGAUUGGCUACAUUUUUUAUUAUAAAAAAUACGAAAUAUACCAUGAAACAGUAUAUGAAGGUGAAUUUAGUAGUAAAAUAAACAAGAGUGUUUAUUUUAACAACGCUUUGGGACGCGUACACACCGCC
RNAcentral lists this ribosomal RNA (349 nucleotides) under Darevskia rudis. Its description in RNAcentral is "partial 12S ribosomal RNA". Lineage: Eukaryota; Metazoa; Chordata; Lepidosauria; Squamata; Lacertidae. The record is from RNAcentral.